UGCGUAGGCGGCGCGGUAAGUCGGGUGUGAAAUCUCGGAGCUUAACUCCGAAACUGCAUUCGAUACUGCCGUGCUUGAGGACUGGAGAGGAGACUGGAAUUUACGGUGUAGCGGUGAAAUGCGUAGAUAUCGUAAGGAAGACCAGUGGCGAAGGCGGGUCUCUGGACAGUUCCUGACGCGAGGCACGAAGGUCAGGGGAGCAAAC
RNAcentral lists this ribosomal RNA (205 nucleotides) under uncultured bacterium. RNAcentral's name for it is "partial 16S ribosomal RNA". It matches the Rfam family "Bacterial small subunit ribosomal RNA", at positions 568 to 773 of the family's 1533-position model. The record is from RNAcentral.